Molecule: long non-coding RNA, 1441 nt
Filed under: Cairina moschata (Muscovy duck)
Lineage: Eukaryota; Metazoa; Chordata; Aves; Anseriformes; Anatidae
Description: domestica (muscovy Duck (domestic type)) lncRNA (ENSCMMG00000010399.1)
Source: RNAcentral
CACGUUACAAGUUGACCCAGCCUCAGCCCCGCGCCCCAAGCUCAGGAAAGAGGCGCGAGGAAACCCGAGGCAUGUCGGGUUCACCUGCAGCACCAGUGGUGAAGGAGCAACGCACUUCGCUUGGAGGAAACCCACGGGUCUGUAACUGGCUGAGCUAUGUCUCCAGAACCAGGCAGCGCUCAGCAUCUUGAAAAGGAAAAAUCAGACCACAAACCAUACUGAACAAGUCACUUUAUGAGGAAGCAUCCAGGGAAUGAUGCACAAACAAGUCAGGGGGAUCACUGCAGGUGGCUGGGAUUCGCCUGACAUGCCCGUAACACACCUCAGAGCAGAGUUCAGUGCCGUUAGAUAGAACGAGUCAAAAAAACAUUCAGCCUGUUUUCUCCCAAAGGAAUGCUUUAUUGACAAGUUUCCUCGGUAUUUAUCUGUGAAGAGAAACAGUUCAAGACCCACGCCCCAGCAGUCCCCGUUUCACUGGCUCUGCUCCUCGCACGGAGGCCAGUUUUAGUCAAACGAGGAGGGCUGGUAAACGACACACCACGCUCUGCCUACUGCCUAGCACAUCUGCCUUCUACUGCCUCAUCGUGUGUCCCCGGAUCAGCAGAGGGAAGGGAGUGGGGAUGGGGGAAAUGGAGAUUUAAUCAGCAAAGUGUCAAAACUUGCUUCUCUAAAGAAAGGGCAAAGAUGGUCCAGUCCCUCCAGGGUGAUAAAACUACUAAAACUACCCAGAUAUGUACAUAGGCAAGUCUAAAGACCUGAGACCUCGGAAGAGCAAAAACAUCUAUCUGCUUCGGGAACUGGUCGAGCUCUGUGACUCUGCUGGGUUUGUAAACCAAGAUCCCAGCUGGGGCUUUCGACUGAAUGACCUCCACAGUCCCAGUCAGAUGUACCAGACGGAGGAGCCCACGGAGAGCAGAGCAGAGCAGAGUCCCUCCAGCACAGCGUCCCUAAUUGCCAGCAACAGCUCUGUCCUCGUUAAACCCGGCCCUGUUGCUAGCAGCCUUCAGGAUUUCUUCCUCCAGGAAUGAAGGCAUAAGCUGAGAAGGGAGAAGCAAGUUUUAUACACUCAGGCAACAGAGUGCACCACUGAAAGUUAACACAAGAACUGGCUUCUAAGCAUGCUGCUACUACUGAACGAUGCAAAAACUCCAGUGCUCAAUAUCCAGCUUUAUAACCCUUACGGUUCUCUCUAGAGAAAAAAAAAAAAUCAUAAACGAGUAAAGCAUAAGGCAAUGUAAGGCUUGCAAUUCAGUUUCAAAGUCCAAGGGAGCAUUUCCCUAAUAUGAUGCCGAAGCUUUUUUUUUCUUAAGCUUUAUUUCUUUAAAGUUCGUUGCAUUUAAAAAUAAAGAUUUUAGUUUUGUUAAAGCUAGAGCAUUAGUGUAACAACGAGGCAGCUGCUAAGUGAAGUUUCCCUUUUAGGAGCCCAGAAAAAAAAAAAAAA